UCUCCCAGUUUGGAUCCCAGCGGUCGCGGCCCCCUCUCUCUCGGACCCCCACUCCUCUCCCCCCUGCUCCCACCACCCCACUCCCCCUCUGUCCAUCCUCCCUCCCCGAGCCUCGACACGGGAUUCGACACGUCACCUCACCCUCGCAGGAGCUCCGCCCACACCUGAACAGCCAGUCAACCAGGAGCCCAUAUUUGGAGCAGAGGGGGAGUGGCCAGGGGGCAGAGGGGCGGGACCCUCAGAAGCAGGAUUGGUACACGAAGUACUUCUCCUUCUGAACACACACACCCCACCCCCCCACACACACACACCACACACACACACAGGUGACCUCUACACACCUGUACAACACACUCAGCUUUAAACAAACACCUGACAGACCAAAACUAUGCCUGUUCAAUGCAGAUGUAUUGUAUUAUAAUUAUAAUGUGGAAUAAAGUAUUUUAUUUAUAUCUA
Oncorhynchus keta (chum salmon) is the source of this 456-nucleotide long non-coding RNA. RefSeq lists it as uncharacterized. The transcript is spliced from 2 exons. The record is from RefSeq and is a predicted model, not a curated record. NCBI's taxonomy places the organism in Eukaryota, Metazoa, Chordata, Actinopteri, Salmoniformes, Salmonidae.